RNAcentral lists this long non-coding RNA (399 nucleotides) under Nicotiana benthamiana. RNAcentral describes it as "long non-coding RNA (NBEN_LNC035770)". Lineage: Eukaryota; Viridiplantae; Streptophyta; Magnoliopsida; Solanales; Solanaceae. The record is from RNAcentral.
AAAGAUGGUUUGACAAACAUGCAUAAAUUGAGGAUUGACUCUGUAGAAAAGCAUGGCUUCUUUACCCAUAAUGGUGCAAGGACUACUACCCAGAGUCCUGCGUCAAGGAUUGUCGGGUUUGAAUCAAAGAUUGCGAUGAAAAGCGCUGCUAAUUUAUUCGAAACAAACCCAUCUGAUGGCAUUCACUCAUCUACUGUGGUUCAGGACAUUGACCAAAUGACUGAGACUACAAGUUCGUUAGGAAACGCUUGUUGUCACCUUUGAAAUUGCGAUGAAAACUGCUGCUAAUUUAUUCGAAGAAAAUCCAUCUGAUGAUUUUCACUCAUCUACUGUAGUUCGGGACAUUGACAAAAUGAACGAGACUACAAGUUCAUUAGUUAGGAAACGCUUAUUGUCACC